GUGCCAGCCGCCGCGGUAAUACCGGCAGCCCGAGUGAUGGCCGAUCUUAUUGGGCCUAAAGCGUCCGUAGCUGGCCGCACAAGUCCAUCGGAAAAUCCACCCGCCCAACGGGUGGGCGUCCGGUGGAAACUGUGUGGCUUGGGACCGGAAGGCGCGACGGGUACGUCCGGGGUAGGAGUGAAAUCCCGUAAUCCUGGACGGACCGCCGAUGGCGAAAGCACGUCGCGAGGACGGAUCCGACAGUGAGGGACGAAAGCCAGGGUCUCGAACCGGAUUAGAAACCCUCGUAGUC
This 292-nucleotide ribosomal RNA is filed under the name uncultured prokaryote. RNAcentral describes it as "partial 16S ribosomal RNA". It matches the Rfam family "Archaeal small subunit ribosomal RNA", at positions 455 to 746 of the family's 1478-position model. The record is from RNAcentral.